AUGAAAUAAAAUAACGUAAAAUAAAAUAAAUAAAUAAAUAGAAAUAAUAAUAAUUUAUUAAAAAUUAGUUAAAAGUUGAAAUUAUAAAUUUUGGUUUCAAUAUAAUAUUUUCCAAACAGUGGCAACCCGCAAUAAAAAAUAACUGCCUCAUCAUAAUUUAUUUAAAAAACAAUGGCACAUAUUAAGCCAACCAAAUAAGUAUACGUUGCAAUUAUAUAACUUUUGCAGCAAAUACUAACGCUUAUUUGAAAAUAAUAUGUCCAUCUAUUUUCGACCUUAACGACAUAUACAAAUUGUUAUUGUUACUUGAACAAAUUUAGCUUUUGGCGCUUGUGACACAAGUGUACGCACAUACAUAUCAAAUAUUACGACAGCGCCCAUAAAUGCUAUGCUAUGCGACUAAAAUUUCACCUUUAUUUGGGUGUGUGCUACAAGAAAUUAUAUCAUACAUAUAGAUAAGUGCAGCUAAAUUAGAUAUGACGGUACAUUUGUAAUUUUAGACACGCAUCAAAUUUGUAGAAACAAUCAUAUGCACAUAAACUUAUUAAUAUUUAAAAAAAAAAAACGGUGUGUCACACUGUGCCAGCAAUGCAGGGCGUAUGAGUAAUAUGAUGUGGAAAUAAACAAAAAUUAUUUGACAGUUGAACGCGGAAAUUAAUGUGAAAAGUCUGUUAAAUGAAAAAAAAUAAUAAUUAAAAAUCUGAUGAAAAUAGUUAUUUUUAAAACAUUAAUUCGGCUUUAGCGCGCAGGAAGCAAAUACACAACGUCUUCCUUUCGCUGUUGCUCUAACAUCUUGAUAAGAGAAAGAAUCAUAAAAGCUACCCCCAAGCAUCAACAAAGUUUAUAAAAAAGUUUCAAAUUUAAAAUUCCGAUUAAGGUGUCAUAAAUUAUUGCAAAAUUAACGGAUAUUUUUGUAUAUUGUUCAAGUCACGACAUAUAUAUAUGCGCUUGAUAUGUUCAAGCGUAAAAUAACCCAUACUAAAUAUUACUUCUUCAAAUUAAAAAAUUAUAAAUUUAUGCAUAAGCGCUAAAUUAGCGCUCGUAUAAACAAUUAGUGAACGUGUUCUGUUUUUAAAUACUCAUAUUACAAUACAUUUGUUUGUUGUACAGAUUUAUAUACGAGUAUGUCAAAAAGUUUUAUUAAAAAUAUUUGACGCUUAGAAAUUGUGAAAUAACUAUUGACCUGCAUGAAAAUGCCAACGCAAACUGCAUUUAAUCGUUUUUGUGUUCGUAUGCAGAUACACGAGCGAUUUCAAAUGCAAACGACAAUUAGAUUUAGUUUUAUUAACGCUCAUAUAAAAUAGAGUACGUGGGAAAGUUGAAGCAGCAAGGUCGCGCGGCAUAAACGACUUGCUUAAGUAAACAAAAAAACUGAAUAAUGUUUUAGUUAUAAAAAUAAUAGAGACUACCUUGUAGUAAUGGUAGUGCCAAUAAAAUUUACAAAACAACUUUUAUUCGUGAAAUAUGUAAACUUAAA
This is a long non-coding RNA of Zeugodacus cucurbitae (melon fly), 1477 nucleotides long. RefSeq lists it as uncharacterized. Lineage: Eukaryota; Metazoa; Arthropoda; Insecta; Diptera; Tephritidae. The transcript has 2 exons. The record is from RefSeq and is a predicted model, not a curated record.